AAAAAAUUGUUGGGCUGCAUACUUACCACAAAAGAUAUGAAUUACCGUCGUUUUCAUAAAAAAAAAACGCCACAAACAUCUCCCUUUACUUUCCUCAAUUCAAUUUACCCCCGAAUGUCUUUUAUCUUUCUCCUUUUACUUUGGUUUCGAAUUUUUACUCUAUUUGACAUGAGAGAAUUUCUAAGCCUUUUGCGGCGGAAGCCAGGGCCUGUGUGAAGGCGUUGAGGUUAUGCUCCGAUCUAGAUGUACAAAACCUGAAGGUGGAGGGGGACUCUCUAACGGUGAAUAAGAAGGCGCCGACUACAGAUGACACAGAUUCCUCAGAAAUAACGGGAUAUAUGGAAGAUGUGAAGAGACUAAGUAAAGUUUUUCGAAGCUGUACCUUUUAUGCAUGCGAAAACAUCGGCCAACGAAGCAGCGAACUAGUUAGCCAGAGAAGGCCUUCAACAAGAACAAGAAUUAUUUUUGAGGAAUGGGAUUCCACAGGUUGCGGCGAUUCUGGUUGAGCGAGACCGCAGUUUGUUGGACGCCCCGGACUGAAGAGCUCUGGUCGAUGAAGGAAAGGGAAGCAGCAGGAGUUCUGUUCGUCGCGUUUCCCUGGCAGAUGAGUAGUUUCUCCUGGGUUUGUUGCUUCUGUCAUUUCUACUGAUAUGCUAGAAUGUUUAUUUUUUCUGCGUAUUUUGAAAUCUUUAUUUUUAGUUAACUUUUGGGGACAAUCCCAUGAGUUGGUGUGUUUAUGCUAAUUAUUCUGGUAGCCCAAUCGCCUUGUCUUGGGCUUGAUUUACCAAUUAUCAAUAUAACACCAUAUACUUAAAGUGAACGAUGUUCGAUGCCCGUAAUCGAUGGCUUUUUUCAUGUCCACUUCAUAUGCCAAGUACUUUUCGUUAACAAAAAUAUUAGAGAGAAGCGCAAGUAAAGUAGAGAAAAAUCGCGCUACCACUGCCUUUACACCCCAUUUGUUUGCAUUUCUCGAUUACACCAUAUCUAUGUUUCUAUAUAGAAGUAUAUUUAUAUAUUUUCCUUAAAAAAGUAUAUGUAAACAAAUUUUUUUCUUUGUUAUUACUGAUGAAAGGCCUUACAUCUGCAGACUGUCUCUCAACUUUGCUCCAAUAGGAGGUAAUGUCUGGUUUCUUAUAUAUUUUUUUCUUUGUUUUUUGUAUCAAAUUCUUCGUCCCUUUUAGGAAUUGACUUUAUGAGUUUUUCUUAAACACCAGUUUCCAGACUCUUCUGGAUAUCAUCCCCAUUUUAGACAAUUACUGUAGCCACUUAAAACUUUUCACAUAUCCUAACAAAUAGUCCAUAGGCUUUUGGCUAAGAAUUCAAUAAUCUUUCAUGGUCUUGCCUGUUUGAUACUUGUUAUUCAGUUAUGAUAAAUAUUUUGUCAAGAUGAUUAUGAUGUUGAUGAUGUUUUGGCUGAUAUAAAGCCCUUUGCUUUUAACGCUACAAAGAAACCUGCUUCUGCUGUAUCUCAUGGUAAAUAAUGAUUUCCUCUCUUGAUUUUUGUACUUUUGUUAUUAUGUGUUACUUUUUUUUUCUUGGUAGAAAUUAACCUUUUCCUUCAUUGCUAAUCUUUCAUUUUUAUUCUUCCUAUAAUAAUUUUGAGGGUUUAAUUGGGUUAGAUCAUUGAUUAAUUGCUGGUGACAUUUUUUUUUUGUUAUAUUGCUCAACAGUUGUUGACUUCUUGUAGAAUUUUCCUUGCUUAUUUGGUUAUUUGAUAAAAUAGAAUUAGGCUUCUUGAAUACUUUGGCUAGUAUUUUCAGUUGAAAUUUUGUUAAAUCUUUUUAUUUUUUAUAAUUGUUCUUUAUUUUCCAGCUUUUUCUAGAUGUUUCUCUGGUUAUACAUUUAUACACACACACAUAUAUAUAUAUAUAAGCUUUUCCUUUUAAUUCUCUUUUUUUUUCCUUUCUGUAUUUCUUUGCUUUAUCUACUUUAGAAAGUCAAAUAUUUUUCCUUUAGCCCUUUAAGAUUUUUGGUUUUAAGCCGAAACAUUACAUGAAAAAGAUACUAGUAGAAGUUUUAUCAUGAAGCUUUAGCAAUUUAAAGCUUCUUCAACUUGAGUAAAUGAAGAUCUGUAUUAAUAAUGAGAUCUUGUAUAAGCACAUAUCACCUGAUAUUGUAAUCCUGGGUUUUUGUUCUUUGAAUAUUGUUAAAAUUAACUUUGAAAUCUUAUAUUUUUUCUGUUUAUUAAAAAUAUAUUUAUAUUGAAAUUGAACUUUUCUGUUGUUUGCUAAUCACGUUGAACAAUAUCUCUCCUCAUCUUCUUGAUUUUUCUUCUUAGAGAAUCUUGUUGAAGAACAAUACUGGACAAACUUCUGUAUUGGAUUCAUUAUGAAAAUCAUUUGUGUCAUUUACUACUAAUAUUUAUACAUCAACCACAUUUUCUUGUGAACAUGCAAAAUAGAAUUUCUAUUAUUAUUAUUAUUGAAUAUAUUUUUUAUGCAUGUGUGGAAGUGAUUCCUUGUUAAUUGUUAUUCUAUAUCCAAAAUGUCGGUCCUAUCAAUUCUCUUGCAUUCUGCAUCCUAGUUAAGUUCAUCUGAUAAAUGCUACAGACAACUGAUUUUUUUCAUCUUUGAACCACUCUCUGUUUAGGAGGAAAAAAAAUGAUGUAACGGAUUGAGCCAUGUUCGAUCUUGUUUCACGCUAAGCGCUUAUAUAAAAGUAUACAGGGCCACUACCCUUAUUAUCCACUUUUGUCUAUUAAACAAGGUUUUUCACUAGUUAUAGGUGGUUUCAACAUUUAUGCUUAGGGAAAAUAUUCUGUCUUUUUCAAUGUCUUUUUAAAUGUUUGUUUAAAGUAAAAUAGGAUGGUCAAGGUAAAAGAUUUUUCAGUUAAUAUAGGAUAAAUUUGAAAAUGUUUUGGUUAAGGAGUGACAAAUUUUGCCUUCUACAUGAUGUUCAAGAUACUGUGUAAAUUUAAUUUAAAUUCAGAGUAUUCAACAAGUGAUCUGAUAAAAAACACUUAAUAUGUGGGACUGAUCUUAUUUGAGGGAGAAGAAGGUGCCCUCUCGAUGACAACUAGGUUACGAUCAGCAAGCACGUCAAAAGGCUUUCCUUUAAUCUAUUGUUUCAGUUUUCGUUCAGUAGGCACGGAAACAGCUUGCAAAGAGGAUGGAGUAUCACAUCAGAGUUUUAGGCUCGAGGUUAAUGUUAUGGACUAUGGUUUUGAACCAACUGAUACACCAAGAACUGAUAGAUCGGGAUGAUGCAGGGCGACUUGUACGCACUGAGAGACUAAGAACCAAAGACAUCACCCAUCCAGUGAAAAUGAAGAAUUACUGGCAGGGAGGAGUCUGCCUGGCAUUUGCUGAUGAGGUACUGUGCUGGCUUUACGGAACAGUCAAAGAGAGUAAGAUUCUAAUUUCCAUUUCCACAAGCACAAUCUUGCCCUGAUGCGAUUACUAAUCACGUUGAACAAUCGUAGUCAUUGACAGACUUAUUUGUUAGUUUGUAAUUCAGAUAGUUCAAAUACAGGAUCAAAGCAAAGAGGAUGGUUUAUAUUUUUACUAACUUUGAUUUUGCAGAUGAACAUCACACAUGAUAAAGUUCCCCAAAGUUCAGCCUUUGUUUGUAAAGGAAAACCCCCCAACUUGGUAGAUUCAUAAGUUAAAAAAUUGUCCUUUGGUAAUUAGAUUUAAAUAGCUUCCAUUUUAGUGUAUUGAUGAAACUCGUGAGAGGUAGAUGCUAUUUCUGCUGUGCUUUUCUAGAAGCAUUAUUGCUACUAAUACAAGUUCCAAAUAUUAAACUUCAAUGGUUUCUAAAAGUAGGAGUUACUAUUUAAAUUGUUAAGAAUUUUAAUAUUUAAUUAAACUUAAAUUAAAAAAAAAGAUUGUAUCUUUUUCUGUGGAUCUGCUUUGUCUCCUGAGGAAAAGGUUAGAUUAGAUGAAACCCAUUUUUCUGUUGAGUAGUUAUCUUUUUUAAUAAUUAUAUCUUUGAAUUGCGUAUGUGUUUUAUUGUGCUGAAAGGUAAACUCGUAUACUGAUGAUAUUUUUGCAAGUACUAAAAUUUCUCGUUAAACGAUUCUUUUUGGUGUUAAAAGUUUCAUGAUUGAUGAAAUUAGUCUUGACAACCAUGGGUGUUGUGAUGGUCUUAAAACUGGCAGAGUCAGGGUAUUGGAUAAUGCAUCAAAGCUCUUUGAUUAUUUGGCAGAGGGUUAGUGAAGCACAGAAUAUAGCCAUAAAAUUAGGUGGACAAGUCAUUGGUCACACAUGGCUUUUAGAAUCAAUUGCAGCAUGACUGAGCAAUGCUUCCUUUACAGGUGUCAACUUUAUUGACAGCAACGUGGGAAAUAAGAGCUCGUCAGAAAGGGUGGAGAGAAAAGGUCGCCAAAUCUAAUGCGCAGACACAAGGAGGAUGGGUUGCUUCACACUGGUUGCGGGACUCCAAAUUAUGUUGCUCCGGAGGUGCUCAAAGAUAAAGGUUAUGAUGGUACAUCAUCUGAUAUUUGGUCUUGCGGAGUUAUUCUCUUUGUUCUCAUGGCUGGUUAUUUGCCUUUUGAUGAGCCAAGCCUUAUAGGCUUGUAUAAGAAAAUCUGGGAGGCUUCUUUCAGCUAUCCAUCAUGGUUUUCAUCUGGUGCUAGGAAUUUGAUUAAGCGUAUUCUUGAUCCAAACCCUUACUCGUAUAACUAUUCCUGAAAUUCUACAAGAUGAAUGGUUCAAGAAAGGGUACAAGCCACCAAAAUUUGAGCAAGAUGAGGAUGUAAAUCUUGAUGAUAAUAUCUUAUAUUUUACAUGGUUAUGAUUUAAGUUCUUAUUUCAUUGAUAUCUUUAUAUUUAAUUUAAUUUUUAUUAUUUAUUUUAGUUUUGAUUCUAAA
Molecule: RNA transcript, 4810 nt
Organism: Gossypium arboreum
Lineage: Eukaryota; Viridiplantae; Streptophyta; Magnoliopsida; Malvales; Malvaceae
Gene name: CBL-interacting serine/threonine-protein kinase 9-like
Exons: 11
Source: RefSeq, a predicted model, not a curated record